UCUCGAUCCCACAUAUAAAUAGCACGGUGAUUUCAAAUAAGACAGUAACAUUACAACACUUGCCGUCAGUAUUUGAAUAUAUUGAUUAAGAAGGUUGUCAGCAAGAUGAAAAGGACAAGUAUGCAGUUCAACAUUCAAAAUGUGGAUAAGCUGAGGUUCAAGAAGGAUUGAAAUUCACCACCUAGAAUAAAUGGAGAAAACAUAGAAACAAGACCAGAAUAAAUUCAAAGACAAAAGUUGGAUCAGUUAUUUUUUUCAUCACUCAGUCAAUGAUUGGAAGUUCUUUUAAAUACA
Mytilus trossulus (common blue mussel) is the source of this 294-nucleotide long non-coding RNA. RefSeq lists it as uncharacterized. The record is from RefSeq and is a predicted model, not a curated record. Lineage: Eukaryota; Metazoa; Mollusca; Bivalvia; Mytilida; Mytilidae. The transcript has 3 exons.